UCCCACUCUCUCUCCCUCCCUUGCUUGCUAUCCAUCUCUCCCCACCCUUCCCAGCGCCAGCCCUCCCCACCGGUUUGCAUCAUCACGCAGGGAGGGGCUGCGUGCUGAGAUCUUUCUUGUUGGAUCUUUCAACUGUCAUGGAUCGAUCUGGGUAUACAGGCUUUGAAACCAAAACCAGCAUCUAACUCCAGAACUAAAGGAGACCUCAGUAACGUGUUUCACUUCUUUCACUGAAGAGGGAGAACAUUUUUCACCUGCCCUUUGGAUGAGAGCAUAAGAUGGAUUUAGAGAAAAUCAAAUAUAAACAUGAAUCUUUGGGUAUGAGAACAUGCUCAUGGAUGCCCACAGAGGACAGAAGUGGAUCUCCUGGUGAUGACGUUGUUCACGGAUAUGAGCUGCCAAUGUGCUUGGUGGGAUCAGAACAGCAAGACUCAGAAGAACUCUCUCUAGCCCUUUGACUUAAAAAGCAAAACCCAACAAUAACACACACACACUGUCAUUUGCAGUAUAUUUUCCAUUUGAUUCUUAGCAUAACUUUCUGAGUCCUAACUGCAUGUCAUGAUGCUUGUAACCACUGGAAAGGUAUGAAGUUGUAUCAUGUUUUCUCAAGAACUUUUAAACUUAGAUUUGUUUUGCUUCUUGUAAAAUACAGUAUUUUCCAAUAAAUUAUACUGUGACUAA
Myodes glareolus (Bank vole) is the source of this 681-nucleotide non-coding RNA. NCBI's taxonomy places the organism in Eukaryota, Metazoa, Chordata, Mammalia, Rodentia, Cricetidae. The record is from RefSeq and is a predicted model, not a curated record.